Molecule: long non-coding RNA, 1296 nt
Filed under: Macaca fascicularis (crab-eating macaque)
Lineage: Eukaryota; Metazoa; Chordata; Mammalia; Primates; Cercopithecidae
Description: lncRNA (ENSMFAG00000047990.1)
Source: RNAcentral
CAUAGGCUUGCCAGGCACCAUAUCAACAAUGGCAGCAUCACCAGACUUCAAGAAUUUAGGGCCAUCUUCCAGUUUUUUACCAGAACGGCAAUCAAUCUUUUCCUUUGGCUCAGCAAACUUGCAUGCAAUGUGAGCCGUGUGGCAAUCCAACACAGGGGCAUAGCCAGCACUUAUUUGGCGUGGAUGGUUCAGGAUAAUCACCUGAGCAGUGAAGCCAGCUGCUUCCAUUGGUGGGUCGUUUAUGCUGUCACCAGCAACGCUGCCAUGACGAACAUCCUUGACAGACACAUUCUUGACAUUGAAGCCCACAUUGUCCCCAGGAAGAGCUUCACUCAAAGCUUCAUGGUGCAUUUCGACAGAUUUUACUUCAGUUGUAACGUUGACUGGAGCAAAGGUGACCACCAUACCGGGUUUGAGAACACCAGUCUCCACUCAGCCAACAGGAACAGUACCAAUACCACCAAUUUUGUAGACAUCCUGGAGAGGCAGGCGCAAGGGCUUGUCAGUUGGACGAGUUGGUGGUAGGAUGCAGUCCAGAGCCUCAAGCAGCAUGGUUCCACUGGUAUUGCCAUCCUUACGAGUGACCUUUCAUCCCUUGAACCAAGGCAUGUUAGCACUUGGCUCCAGCAUGUUGUCACCAUUCCAACCAGAAAUUGGCACAAAUGCUACUGUGGCUACUGGUUGUAGCCAAUUUUCUUAAUGUAAGUGCUGACUUCCUUAACAAUUUCCUCGUAUCUCUUCUGGCUGUAGGGUGGCUCAGUGGAAUCCAUUUUGUUAACACCAAUAAUUAGUUGUUUCACACCCAGUGUGUAAGCCAGAAGAGCAUGCUCUCGGGUCUGCCCAUUCUUGGAGAUACCAGCUUCAAAUUCACCAACACCAGCAGCAACAAUCAGGACAGCACAGUCAGCCUGAGAUGUCCCUGUAAUCAUGUUUUUGAUGAAGUCUCUGUGUCCUGGGGCAUCAAUGAUAGUCACAUAAUACCUGCUGGUCUCAAAUUUCCACAAGGAGCUAUCAAUGGUGAUACCACGUUCCCGCUCAGCUUUCAGUUUAUCCAAGACCCAGGCAUACUUGAAGGAGCCCUUUCCCAACUCAGCAGCCUCCUUCUCAAAUUUUUCAAUGGUUCUUUUGUCAAUGCCACCGCAUUUGUAGAUCAGAUGGCCAGUAGUGGUGGACUUGCCUGAAUCUACGUGUCCAAUGACGACAAUGUUGAUAUGAGUCUUUUCCUUUCCCAUUUUGGCAUUUAGGGGUAGUUUUCACGACACCUGUGUUCUGGCGGCAAACCCGUUGCGAAAAAGC